This is a regulatory RNA element of Tetranychus urticae (two-spotted spider mite), 114 nucleotides long. It matches the Rfam family "Potassium channel RNA editing signal". Rfam says of the family: This family represents a group of sequences related to the human potassium channel Kv1.1 hairpin element which directs the efficient modification of an adenosine to inosine by an adenosine deaminase acting on RNA (ADAR). The ADAR modification causes an isoleucine/valine recoding event which lies in the ion-conducting pore of the potassium channel. It is thought that this editing event targets the process of fast inactivation and allows a more rapid recovery from inactivation at negative potentials. The record is from Rfam. NCBI's taxonomy places the organism in Eukaryota, Metazoa, Arthropoda, Arachnida, Trombidiformes, Tetranychidae.
GUUGGCUAUGGUGACAUGGUUCCACUAUCUUUUUGGGGUAAAAUUGUGGGCUCUCUUUGUGCCAUUGCUGGUGUUUUAACCCUUGCACUUCCAGUACCCGUAAUUGUCUCCAAU